This 497-nucleotide ribosomal RNA is filed under the name uncultured bacterium. RNAcentral's name for it is "partial 16S ribosomal RNA". It matches the Rfam family "Bacterial small subunit ribosomal RNA", at positions 28 to 507 of the family's 1533-position model. The record is from RNAcentral.
GAUGAACGCUGGCGGCGUGCCUAAUACAUGCAGGUCGAGCGAACAGACGAGGAGCUUGCUCCUCUGACGUUAGCGGCGGACGGGUGAGUAACACGUGGAUAACCUACCUAUAAGACUGGGAUAACUUCGGGAAACCGGAGCUAAUACCGGAUAAUAUAUUGAACCGCAUGGUUCAAUAGUGAAAGACGGUUUUGCUGUCACUUAUAGAUGGAUCCGCGCCGCAUUAGCUAGUUGGUAAGGUAACGGCUUACCAAGGCAACGAUGCGUAGCCGACCUGAGAGGGUGAUCGGCCACACUGGAACUGAGACACGGUCCAGACUCCUACGGGAGGCAGCAGUAGGGUAUCUUCCGCAAUGGGCGAAAGCCUGACGGAGCAACGCCGCGUGAGUGAUGAAGGUCUUCGGAUCGUAAAACUCUGUUAUUAGGGAAGAACAAAUGUGUAAGUAACUAUGCACGUCUUGACGGUACCUAAUCAGAAAGCCACGGCUAACUACGUG